Long non-coding RNA from Platichthys flesus (European flounder), 2060 nucleotides. RefSeq lists it as uncharacterized. Lineage: Eukaryota; Metazoa; Chordata; Actinopteri; Pleuronectiformes; Pleuronectidae. The record is from RefSeq and is a predicted model, not a curated record. The transcript is spliced from 2 exons.
GAGGAAGUGAAUGCUCCGUGUCUUUACUGCUGCUGCUUCCAUCCUGUCUUCUACAGGGAUGAGAUCAACAAAGCUCCAAAAGCUGACUCCGGUGGAUCUGCCAGCUCUGAGGCCGCUGCCGCUGUUAGCUGUCAUUAACUGACCUAGCUGCAACUCCACCCAAUAAUCUCCGCCGCUGUUGACUUGGAAAACUCGAUUCGAUAGAAUAUUGCCGUCCGUAGUAAACUUGUUUUAGUGUCGUUCCCUCGAUCACAGAGCAAGUGUUCGUUUCCCUCUUUUCAUCCCCAUUCCAACGGACAUUCAACAAUCAUGAAGGAAGAAAUGGAUCUCAGAAACGGCAGACGGACCAAUUUGUCUUCCCACUGUAGCCUUGGAAAAGAACAUCCUGCUCCUGCUUGGUUUUGAUUAAUGGCAGAGACUGUAGAAAAAAAGUUAACAUUCCCCGCUGCUUUUCUGAUUUCUAUUGCUCAGAUGUGACGCUUCUGGCUCUAGAUGAAACUUUUCUUUUGUAGAUUAAAGAAAAUAUCUACAGAUCUAGCUCCGGAUUUAUAGGAGAAAAUAGGAGAACCACUUGCUCCUCCCCAUACUUCCCCACUUCUCCUUCUCCUCCUUCUCCUUCUUCUUUCUCUUCUUCAGUUCUUUGCUCUCCUUCUUCUCCUUCUUCUCUCUCUCCAGUUGCGCUUUCUUUUCCUGCUUAUUCGUUUCUUUCUUGUCCUUCUUUUCUCUCUUCUUCAGUUCUAUGCUCUCCAUCUUCUCCUUCUUCUCUCUCUCCAGUUGCUCUUUCUUCUCCUUUUUCUCAUUUUCGACCUUCACAUUGUCCGAGUCGGUCUCAAAGGUGAGAUUCUGAAAAGAAAGAGACACAACAAAAGUGUCAACAUUUUCAAAUGUCAAAUGUAUGCUGAUGACACUGUUAUCCAUGUGUCCAGUAAAACACCCAGCUUAGCAGGUGAGCACCUGACACAAGCAUUACUCAGCAUUUCAAAAUGGCUUGAGCUGUCUCAGUUGACCAUUAAUGUGAAGAAAACCGUCUCUAUGUGCUUCUCCAUCCGUAAUAGGCCUAUCACCGAUGUUUUCAAGGUACGGAUCAAAAAUGAAUUAAUUGAAUCAGUAAAUGAAGUAAAAUAUCUGGGCAUCAUCCUGGAUCAGAAUUUAAAAUUUGUUACGCAAAUUAAGUAUGUUGCAAAAAAGGCAAAACUAAAUCUAAACUGUUUCCGUUUCAUAAGAAGGGACUUGUCAUGUCAAACGGCCAAAUUAUUUAUGCACGCUAUGAUAUUUUCUCAUUUGUCAUAUUGUAUCACAUCAUGGUCACAAGCUUCUUCUACUGCAUUAAAACCUAUCUUCUCAAUAUACAAACAGACAAUAAAAGUCAUGGAUCGGAAACCCAUGAGAUGGCAUCACUGCAGCAUUCUAAAAAAACACAACCUUUUCACCUUUGAUAACUUUAUUAAUUUUAGUCAUCUUCAAUUGUUUUUCAAGUGUGUAAAUAACCAUGUGUCACCACUGUUGUCUGAAUUGGCCAUCAGACGUCAGAGCUCUCGUCGGGCAAAUACACGAGCCUCCAUCAAUGGUGAUUGUCUUGUUCCCAUGCACAGGACAUCUUUCGGUCAGUCUGUCUUCUCUGCAAAGGGGGCAAAACUAUGGAACCUCUUGCCCACUAUUCUAAAACUAGAGACUAACAGCAACACUUUUAACAGAGAACUAAAACAACGGCUCAAAUCAAAUCAACAGUGCUCACACAAAUAAUUUACAACUGGUUAUUGUUUGAUCAUGCUGCCUAUGUUCUCUACGUAGCCUAUAUAUAUAUAUUCAACUCAUUAUAUUGCUGCUCUGUACUAUACUGUAUACUGCAUUUUUACUCUUUUUAAUUAUCACUAUCAGUUUUUUAUCAGUAAUUGAUCUUGUUUCUGUCUUGUUCAGUUUCUUUUGUUGUUUUCAAAAAGCCUCCUGUGGACAGGUGUUGUAAACUAGCAUUUAUGCUAAUACACUGUAAACAAUGCAUCUGGUUCGUCCAAUGACAUUGUCAUGUCCAUGUCCAAAUAAAAUAAAAUCAAUCAAUCUUC